Molecule: transfer RNA, 575 nt
Filed under: Phormidium cf. subfuscum UCFM_PS
Lineage: Bacteria; Bacillati; Cyanobacteriota; Cyanophyceae; Oscillatoriales; Oscillatoriaceae
Description: partial 16S-23S ribosomal RNA intergenic spacer
Rfam family: tRNA (bases 277-349)
Source: RNAcentral
UAGGGAGACCAUCUGAGCAACUACCGAACCUCAACGAGCGGUAGCAAUCAGUAUCCCUGGUCGUUCGAGAAAUAGAUGUCAAAGCUUUCAAACUAUUAACUGGUUCGGCUCACGGGCUAUUAGCUCAGUUGGUUAGAGCGCACCCCUGAUAAGGGUGAGGUCCCUGGUUCAAAUCCAGGAUGGCCCACCUGGAAAAAAGUGAUGAAAUUAAAGUAAUGAGUCAGGAAUGAAUAAAAGUUCAAGACUCAGGGCAGAAAAAAUCAGAACUUGCUUAGUGGGGGUAUAGCUCAGUUGGUAGAGCGCCUGCCUUGCACGCAGGAAGUCAGCGGUUCGAGUCCGCUUACCUCCACUCUCACUAUCACUAACUAACUAGAACCACAAUCAAAAAAGAGCAGAGAAAUCAGCACCCAGACUAUCAAGCGUGAAAGUCAGAAUGCUGGAGUCUAGAACUCUAGUCAGAACCUUGAAAACUGCAUAGAAAUUAAGUCAUCAUCAAGCAGGUAAGUCAUCCGAGAAAUCGGAAAAUCUUACAAAGCGACCACCAUCAAAGAAGAAAGUUACAAAGGGCUAACGGU